RNAcentral lists this ribosomal RNA (497 nucleotides) under uncultured bacterium. RNAcentral's name for it is "partial 16S ribosomal RNA". It matches the Rfam family "Bacterial small subunit ribosomal RNA", at positions 28 to 507 of the family's 1533-position model. The record is from RNAcentral.
GAUGAACGCUGGCGGCGUGCCUAAUACAUGCAAGUCGAGCGAACGGACGAGAAGCUUGCUUCUCUGAUGUUAGCGGCGGACGGGUGAGUAACACGUGGAUAACCUACCUAUAAGACUGGGAUAACUUCGGGAAACCGGAGCUAAUACCGGAUGAUAUUUUGAACCGCAUGGUUCAAAGGUGAAAGACGGUCUUGCUGUCGCUUAUAGAUGGAUCCGCGCUGCAUUAGCUAGUUGGUAAGGUAACGGCUUACCAAGGCAACGAUGCAUAGCCGACCUGAGAGGGUGAUCGGCCACACUGGAACUGAGACACGGUCCAGACUCCUACGGGAGGCAGCAGUAGGGAAUCUUCCGCAAUGGGCGAAAGCCUGACGGAGCAACGCCGCGUGAGUGAUGAAGGUCUUCGGAUCGUAAAACUCUGUUAUUAGGGAAGAACAUAUGUGUAAGUAACUGUGCACAUCUUGACGGUACCUAAUCAGAAAGCCACGGCUAACUACGUG